CUGUUUCUGCAUUUGCAGAAGCCCUGGACAAAAAUACAAACGGAAGGCUCAGGCCUGUGUCUUACCCUUUGUCUCCUCCCACCGAUGGCUCUAACCUUCACAUCCAGGGAUUUAUCACUGAUGAUUUCUACAAUACUUUUGCAGAACAAUUAACCCUCUACUUACUGGUGACUUAGUGAGAGUUUGUGUAUUUGGAUCCCUGAAUUUUUCUGGGUAAGUCAGCCUUUAAUUUA
Molecule: long non-coding RNA, 233 nt
Filed under: Callithrix jacchus (white-tufted-ear marmoset)
Lineage: Eukaryota; Metazoa; Chordata; Mammalia; Primates; Cebidae
Description: lncRNA (ENSCJAG00000074298.1)
Source: RNAcentral